GCGGGAGUAACUCAGUGGUAGAGUGUCACCUUCCCAAGGUGAAGGUCGUGGGUUCGAAUCCCAUUUCCCGCU
Molecule: transfer RNA, 72 nt
Filed under: Chitinivibrionales bacterium
Lineage: Bacteria; Pseudomonadati; Fibrobacterota; Chitinivibrionia; Chitinivibrionales
Description: tRNA-Gly
Rfam family: tRNA
About the family: Transfer RNA (tRNA) molecules are approximately 80 nucleotides in length. Their secondary structure includes four short double-helical elements and three loops (D, anti-codon, and T loops). Further hydrogen bonds mediate the characteristic L-shaped molecular structure. tRNAs have two regions of fundamental functional importance: the anti-codon, which is responsible for specific mRNA codon recognition, and the 3' end, to which the tRNAs corresponding amino acid is attached (by aminoacyl-tRNA synthetases). tRNAs cope with the degeneracy of the genetic code in two manners: having more than one tRNA (with a specific anti-codon) for a particular amino acid; and 'wobble' base-pairing, i.e. permitting non-standard base-pairing at the 3rd anti-codon position.
Source: RNAcentral